Molecule: long non-coding RNA, 1247 nt
Organism: Marmota monax (woodchuck)
Lineage: Eukaryota; Metazoa; Chordata; Mammalia; Rodentia; Sciuridae
Exons: 2
Source: RefSeq, a predicted model, not a curated record
AGUCAGGGCGUGUGCGAGUCAGGCACUCGGCCUGCCCGGUCGCAAGCUCAGCCUGGCUCAGCACUGCCCCCUCCGCCCCCGGCUUCCCCGCGCAGCAGUGGCGGGUCACGCAGCUCCGACCACGUCCUCCGCGCACCAGCGUGGACCUGCGAGACAAGGCCUACGGGCUGGCAGGGCGGACGGAGUCGCGGGGCAAGGCGUGCGGACUGCUCGCGCCUGCCGGAUGUAGCCCCGCCGCUGUGUUGUGGGCACCAACCCCCGGGGAACACUGGGAACUGGUGCGGGGCACGGGGUUGCGGCCUCGAGGAUGAGCGAUCCACUCCGUGCGCCAUUCUCUGCGGUGUGCCCAGACUCCCGGGGCGCAGCCGUGCCAGCUCGCGGGGCCUGCCAGAGGGGCGGCGAUCCCGUCCGGACUGAAGGGUCUCCGUACCUGUGCAGGUGUCGUUGCAACCGUCCUCCAACUGGAGGGACCCUGAGGGGCCCGGGGGCAGGGGGGAGGUGGAGGACCGCCAAAGGGCAGCUGCUGUCCUGGAAACGUGUUAGCACCUCCUGUGAAGUGGAGUCGUCUCUGUUGCUUAAGCCGCUUUUACAAUUGAAUCCAUAGCUGGAGUCACCACAAGUAUGGCAGCAGGUGAGUUCCUGCAAGAGAGUCCCCAAACCACCCUGAGCCCUGCUGGCUGGGAUUCUGAUAAAAGGAGUCCUAAGCACCCAGGCUGUUUGUUUGGGGAACGUGCAGCGCGUCCUGGAGGCUGAGAACAGGAGGAGAUGUAGAGAAUCAGAUGUAACUGCGUUACCAUUACUGUCCUUGAUGGAGUCUGCCUGCAAACAGGAUAUUCUGUCAAGGUAUAGAUAGGUAACAGCGGACAUGCUUGAAAACGAGGUGUCUGCUGUCCUUGGGAGGGCCUACUUGCAAACGAGAGGCUCCUUCAAGGUUUAGAUUGAAAACAAGGUGUCUGCUAUCCCUGGGAGGACUUGCCUGCAAACGGGACGUUCUGCCAAGUGGGCUAGGAGGGCGCUGAGAAAAAUUUUAUUAUCUGUUCUUAACAAAGAGCAGAGCUCAACAUACUCCGGGCCGAGAAUAGACUAGCCAUGAGAAGCGGGUCACUUCUGAUUAGGAAGUAAACUUCUGUGUGCUAUGUUUAAUUAGCUGAAAGACCUGAUUCACUGCUGUUGGAAGGCUGCCUUCUUUGUUCACAAUACUAUAAAAAGAUCGCUGUACACAGUAAAGGACUUUUUUCCUGCUGCUG